This 492-nucleotide ribosomal RNA is filed under the name uncultured bacterium. RNAcentral describes it as "partial 16S ribosomal RNA". It matches the Rfam family "Bacterial small subunit ribosomal RNA", at positions 29 to 507 of the family's 1533-position model. The record is from RNAcentral.
AGUGAACGCUGGCGGUAGGCCUAACACAUGCAAGUCGAACGGCAGCACAGUAAGAGCUUGCUCUUACGGGUGGCGAGUGGCGGACGGGUGAGGAAUACAUCGGAAUCUACUUUUUCGUGGGGGAUAACGUAGGGAAACUUACGCUAAUACCGCAUACGACCUACGGGUGAAAGCAGUGGAUCUUCGGACCUUGCGCGAUUGAAUGAGCCGAUGUCGGAUUAGCUAGUUGGCGGGGUAAAGGCCCACCAAGGCGACGAUCCGUAGCUGGUCUGAGAGGAUGAUCAGCCACACUGGAACUGAGACACGGUCCAGACUCCUACGGGGGGCAGCAGUGGGGAAUAUUGGACAAUGGGCGCAAGCCUGAUCCAGCCAUACCGCGUGGGUGAAGAAGGCCUUCGGGUUGUAAAGCCCUUUUGUUGGGAAAGAAAAGCAGCAGGUUAAUACCCCGCUGUUCUGACGGUACCCAAAGAAUAAGCACCGGCUAACUUCGUG